UAGGGAAUCUUCGGUAAUGGACGGAAGUCUGACCGAGCAACGCCGCGUGAGUGAAGAAGGUUUUCGGAUCGUAAAGCUCUGUUGUUAGAGAAGAACGUUGGUAGGAGUGGAAAAUCUACCAAGUGACGGUAACUAACCAGAAAGGGACGGCUAACUACGUGCCAGCAGCCGCGGUAAUACGUAGGUCCCGAGCGUUGUCCGGAUUUAUUGGGCGUAAAGCGAGCGCAGGCGGUUCUUUAAGUCCGAAGUUAAAGGCAGUGGCUUAACCAUUGUACGCUUUGGAAACUGGAGGACUUGAGUGCAGAAGGGGAGAGUGGAAUUCCAUGUGUAGCGGUGAAAUGCGUAGAUAUAUGGAGGAACACCGGUGGCGAAAGCGGCUCUCUGGUCUGUAACUGACGCUGAGGCUCGAAAGCGUGGGGAGCAAACAGGAUUAGAUACCCUGGUAGUCCACGCCGUAAACGAUGAGUGCUAGGUGUUAGGCCCUUUCCGGGGCUUAGUGCCGCAGCUAACGCAUUAAGCACUCCGCCUGGGGAGUACGACCGCAAGGUUG
This 550-nucleotide ribosomal RNA is filed under the name uncultured bacterium. Its description in RNAcentral is "bacterial SSU rRNA". It matches the Rfam family "Bacterial small subunit ribosomal RNA", at positions 355 to 896 of the family's 1533-position model. The record is from RNAcentral.